Podarcis raffonei (Aeolian wall lizard) is the source of this 1384-nucleotide long non-coding RNA. RefSeq lists it as uncharacterized. The transcript has 4 exons. The record is from RefSeq and is a predicted model, not a curated record. NCBI's taxonomy places the organism in Eukaryota, Metazoa, Chordata, Lepidosauria, Squamata, Lacertidae.
AGGCUUUUGCAUAGCCAAUGAAGCAGAAGUAGAUGUCUUUCUGGAACUCUCUAGCUUUCUCCAUAAUCCAGCGCAUGUUUGCAAUUUGGUCUCUGGUUCCUCUGCCUCUUCUAAAUCCAGCUUGCACUUCUGGGAGUUCUCGGUCCACAUACUGCUUAAGCCUUCCUUGUAGAAUUUUAAGCAUAACCUUGCUAGCAUGUGAAAUGAGUGCAAUUGUGCGAUAGUUGGAGCAUUCUUUGGCACUGCCCUUCUUUGGGAUUGGGAUGUAGACUGAUCUUCUCCAAUCCUCUGGCCACUGCUGAGUUUUCCAAAUUUGCUGGCAUAUUGAGUGUAGCACCUUAACAGCAUCAUCUUUUAAAAUUUUAAAUAGUUCAGCUGGAAUAUCAUCACUUCCACUGGCCUUGUUAUUAGCAGAGUCCAAUUCUGAGUUUGUGCAGAUCUAUCUUUCAAUCCAAGUUCAGUUCUCCAUGAGUUACCCUCUCUUGAAGGUCAGUUGCAUGCAGGGCUCAGUUCUGACACCUCUCAGGUGGACACCAUUAUAAGAGUCUGUUCUGGCACCCUUUUUUCUGGAAAAAGAGCAUUGGUGCCAUGUUUGUUUUGAUGAUGAUACAUUCAAUAAAUGUAAACCAAACAUGUUGAAAUUUGACUGUGUCUGUUCCUUUUCUUUGUGCUUUAACUUUGCAAGUGAAGAUUUAUACUAAUGCAUUUUGCCAUAUUUCCUGGUACAAGUGCUGAGAUAGGAAGCUUUCCAAUAUUACUAGCAGAGUUUAUGAGGAGUAAGGAUUCUUCUGAGGGAUAUGCUUUGAAGGUAAUGUAUGUACCCAACCUAAAUAAAAAAUAAAAUGUAAAAUCAUUUGAAAAAAUAGGUGGUAUAACAAAUGCUGAUUGGAUAUGAUGAGGAGCCAAUCAAGAAAUGAUAUAGACUAAAUGGGAGGAGUUCUGGAGUACCUGACGUCACAAGGGAGGUGGUUCUUAGCCAGUGGGAAGGUGAAAUAACCUUAUGAAGAAAGUAGAGAAAAGAUUGUUCCAUGACGACAACAACAAGUUAUCAAAACAGAAAGAGGCGAGGUCCAACUGAUGGUCUCCAAAGUCUUGCUAGACUCAAAUGGCGUUAUAUGCAUCCAACUGAGAUGGGAUCUAGUACUCCAUCUUUUCUGAUGAUCAGGAGACACAUCUGAGAGGAUGGUGAAGCCAACGCCCACAAAGCUUUCAGCGUCCAGAAAGCGUAAAGCAAAAGCAAAUGAAAAUGGUGCAUCUGCUUUUCAGGACUUGCUUACUUUCUUCAAAUCUCCAGUGGGUGAAAGAUUGAUCGUUCUUGAGAUUUUCAUCUUUACUGUCAUGACACUGCUGGUUUUCAUUCUGUGUAAGUACACAAUUGGCGGAC